GACGAACGCUGGCGGCGUGCUUAACACAUGCAAGUCGAACGGUAAGGCCCUUCGGGGUACACGAGUGGCGAACGGGUGAGUAACACGUGGGUGAUCUGCCCUGCACUUCGGGAUAAGCCUGGGAAACUGGGUCUAAUACCGGAUAGGACCCUGGGAUGCAUGUCCUGGGGUGGAAAGCUUUUGCGGUGUGGGAUGGGCCCGCGGCCUGUCAGCUUGUUGGUGGGGUGAUGGCCUACCAAGGCGACGACGGGUAGCCGGCCUGAGAGGGUGACCGGCCACACGGGGAUAGAGAUAAGGCCCCGGCUCCGACGGGAGGCAGCAGUGGGGAAUAUUGCACAAUGGGCGCAAGCCUGAUGCAGCGACGCCGCGUGAGGGAGGGCGGCCUUCGGGUUGUAACCCUCUUUCAGCACCGACGAAGCGCAAGUGACGGUAGGUGCAGAAGAAGGACCGGCCAACUACGUGCCAGCCGCCGCGGUAA
Molecule: ribosomal RNA, 478 nt
Filed under: uncultured bacterium
Lineage: Bacteria
Description: partial 16S ribosomal RNA
Rfam family: Bacterial small subunit ribosomal RNA
Source: RNAcentral